Long non-coding RNA from Chiroxiphia lanceolata (lance-tailed manakin), 2406 nucleotides. RefSeq lists it as uncharacterized. The transcript is spliced from 3 exons. The record is from RefSeq and is a predicted model, not a curated record. Lineage: Eukaryota; Metazoa; Chordata; Aves; Passeriformes; Pipridae.
GCCCUUUGCAACUGUAAUCUGUUGAUGACCUGUGUGCAGCUUGUUACACUGCAGCUUGUCACACUGAAUGGCAGCCUGAAUAAUUUAAUAUUGAACUGUGAUUAAUCACAAGAUGAAAGCUAAGAUUGGCUGGUAGGAGGCAGUGUUCUUUGCUGCAGCAUUUCCCACCUGAGGUAAUUUUCCUUGUUCUGAAAGUGUCAAGUACAGUUGGGCAAUGUACUACGUAGGAAGAAGGGAAAGAAUCUCAAAAACAAAUAAAUGAACAAAAAAAACCCCUUUAUAUUUGCUUGUGCAAGAAGAAGAUUGUUCUUCCACUCAACCAGGUUUUGAGAGGACAAAUUAAUUGUUUCUCUGACAACACUAUACAUUGGAGGCUGUUAAUGAUCCCGUAGUCUGUGCUAAAGGUUUCAGCUGAUUGUGUUUGUCAUCAGCUUUUACUAAAGAAAAAGCAAGCCUUCUUGGCUGUGUGGAUAUUCCAGGAACGAAACGAUUCCAUUCAUGUAGAUAAUGAUAACAGAGCCAAACCAAAAAUAUUGUAAGUGUCCUAUGUGGAACAAUAUACAGAAUUUCAAAAGGGAUUGUAGUGGUCCCAUAUACAGAACUAACAUACUUCCUGUUCCUUAUUUGCUGAUCAGGUCAUAUUUAUCUGCCUGUCAGGACUGUUGGAGCGCUGGAUGGAGAGCAGGUCAUAUGAAGAGGAUUACGGAGUAAAAGGCAGCUUGUACUGAAGUGCAGGGAAAGUAUAAAUAUUUAUAUAUAUUGGCACAGUGCCUAGCCUUAAUGCUUAAAAUCCUUUGGAGAGCUGUCUGCAUAUUUACUGUAUUAAUGAUCAAAUGCAAGGCUGUGUUGGGAAAGGUCUUCCAUUUGGAAGUCAGUAGUUGAGACUGUCUUGCCUAUGAAAAAGAGGGAGAAUUUUCAUUAGAGGAUGUAGGAUUCUGGCUGGUAAUAGUCUUAGUUCGAGGUAUUUUUAGAGAAUUGAUUUAACGCAAGCAGAACAAAUGGCCAGAAGUGUAAUGAGAGACAAGUUGACAUUAGAAAGUAGAUGUGCAUUUUGAAUGUAUUAUCAUAGCAACUGAUUAAAUUCUCCCUCUCUUGCUGUUCUGGGGACCUUUUAAAUGUGCUUUGGCUAAAUAAAAAGUAUUAGACUGUUUCAGAGCCAAAAGGUCGGUUCUUGUUGUCUCUUUUGCACUUUAAUUCUAGUACGCUGAUACUUGCUAACCGCUUAUAACCCUAGAUGCAGAAUGAGAACUUGGGUUAUUAACAGUAAACAAGUCAACAGCAGAAAGACUUGACCUUUCUUUUGAAUUGCCCUACAGUGUUAAAAAAUACCAAACAAACCUCCUUCCCCAAAGAAACACCCCCCAAAAUACCCCAACAACUCACCAAACAGAAAAUCACCGGCAACCAAAAAGCAGAAGUAACAAACAUGAACAGCAAGCGGAGGAAGAGUUUGAAAGCGGGAUGGACAGAAGCAGAAGUGUUACUGCCCACUCUUAGGCCACUGUGCUGAUUCAAUGGGUGUUGUUAGGUUUAGAUUAGUAGUUCCUUGUUGUUGGGUUUUUCGGUGGUGUUGAUUUUUUUGUUGUCGAUGUGGGGGAUUGUUCGUUUGUUUGGUUUUAAUUUGGUUUUUUUUUUUUCUGUAUUAAAAAUCUGGCUCAGUUACUCUCUAGUUCUGGUGUGUUUUCUUUUCCAGGUGGUUGGUGUUUCUGCAGUGUUUGGCACAGGACCGGAGAGUAUCGUCCACAAUACGAGCGCCCGAGAAAAACACUGGACCUGAUGCUUCUGCAAUGGGUCCCUCUGAGCUAAUUCUAACACGGGGAGCUCUCGAUGAAGAGCAAGAAGACAGGGAGAGUGACGCUGAUGGCAUUGACCAUGAAGGUAAGGGAAUGAGGUCUAAAAGCUGCCUCUCAAGAAAUCCCCUCUAUAUUUCAUGACCUGGAUGGACUGUAAGGAGAGCCUAGCAAACAAGCAAACAUUCAGUCACCUGACGUGUCAGAAUCUGUAGCAGAAGCUCCGCUGCAAUGGUCAGUGCAGGGAUAUCACUCUGUAAGCUUUGUGAAAGUUCAAUUGUAAAUUUUCUAUUCGAGUAAUUAAUAGGUGUAUAACACACAUAAACCAGAGAACUCGUUAGGCUUGGGGCAUGCAGUGACCUCUGAACCUGAUUGAUGCACAGAUGUGUCCAUCAUCUUUUUGGCCUUACAGUUUGUGGCCCUGGCUCUCUUCCCUUUUCCUGUGACUGUGGUCUUGGAGCAAUCUUCUAAGUUGUUACAGUGUGAUUUUUCUCUUCUAUAGCUCACAGACUUAAUCUUCCUUCUUUCCCUGUUCCGCUGAUGGGUAGGAUCACUUAUUUCCUUUGCCCUGUAAUGUAGUUGAAGAUGGAAUAGACUUUCUAUGUUGCUUUGGCUA